UUAAAUGGCCGCGGUAUCCUAACCGUGCAAAGGUAGCAUAAUCACUUGUUUACUAAAUAUAGACUCGUAUGAACGGCACCACGAGGGCUACACUGUCUCCCCAAUUUAAUCAGUUAAACUGAUCCCCCCGUGAAGAAGCGGGGAUUAUAAUAUAAGACGAGAAGACCCCAUGGAGCUUUAAACUAAAACCAACUGCCAAACCCAACACCACUAUAUAUUGCAGCAAUGACUCAAAGUUUUCGGUUGGGGCGACCACGGAGCACAACAAAACCUCCACGAUGAACGAACAUAAAACUCUCACCCAAGAACCACACCACAAAGGACCACUAACGUGACAUCCAUUGACCCAAACACUUGAUCAACGAACCUAGUUACCCUGGGGAUAACAGCGCAAUCCAUUUCAAGAGCCCGUAUCGACAAAUGGGUUUACGACCUCGA
RNAcentral lists this ribosomal RNA (438 nucleotides) under Breviceps carruthersi. RNAcentral describes it as "partial 16S ribosomal RNA". It matches the Rfam family "Bacterial large subunit ribosomal RNA", at positions 1923 to 2529 of the family's 2925-position model. Lineage: Eukaryota; Metazoa; Chordata; Amphibia; Anura; Brevicipitidae. The record is from RNAcentral.